RNAcentral lists this ribosomal RNA (448 nucleotides) under uncultured bacterium. RNAcentral's name for it is "bacterial SSU rRNA". It matches the Rfam family "Bacterial small subunit ribosomal RNA", at positions 29 to 524 of the family's 1533-position model. The record is from RNAcentral.
AACGAACGCUGGCGGCAGGCCUAACACAUGCAAGUCGAACGCCCCGCAAGGGGAGUGGCAGACGGGUGAGUAACACGUGGGAACGUACCCUUCGGUUCGGGAUAACUCAGGGAAACUUGAGCUAAUACCGGAUACGUCCGAGAGGAGAAAGAUUUAUCGCCGAGGGAUCGGCCCGCGUCUGAUUAGCUCGUUGGUGAGGUAACGGCUCACCAAGGCGACGAUCAGUAGCUGGUCUGAGAGGAUGAUCAGCCACAUUGGGACUGAGACACGGCCCAAACUCCUACGGGAGGCAGCAGUGGGGAAUAUUGGACAAUGGGCGCAAGCCUGAUCCAGCCAUGCCGCGUGAGUGAUGAAGGCCCUAGGGUUGUAAAGCUCUUUUACCCGGGAAGAUAAUGACUGUACCGGGAGAAUAAGCCCCGGCUAACUUCGUGCCAGCAGCCGCUGUAAU